Molecule: long non-coding RNA, 190 nt
Organism: Lemur catta (Ring-tailed lemur)
Lineage: Eukaryota; Metazoa; Chordata; Mammalia; Primates; Lemuridae
Exons: 3
Source: RefSeq, a predicted model, not a curated record
UUUACACAAUGAGGUGGCAACACCCUCUGCAACAUCUUUUGUGGAAGCCACCAAACACCUGAGUGCUGGCUCUGUGACCUGGCAGACAGGCCGAAGACACAGAGACAGGACGAUGUGUCCCAUGGAGCUGGAGAGGGGCCUGGGUGCUGCAGGAAACACGAGGACAGGACUGGGAUCAAUAUUGGAAACC